GGACCAUGGCUCAGUGGCAGAGCAUCUGCUUUGCAUGCAGAAGACCCCGGGUUCAAGCCCCAGUAUCUCCA
Non-coding RNA from Podarcis lilfordi (Lilford's wall lizard), 71 nucleotides. The record is from the annotation of a GenBank genome assembly. NCBI's taxonomy places the organism in Eukaryota, Metazoa, Chordata, Lepidosauria, Squamata, Lacertidae.